Molecule: long non-coding RNA, 955 nt
Organism: Maniola jurtina (meadow brown)
Lineage: Eukaryota; Metazoa; Arthropoda; Insecta; Lepidoptera; Nymphalidae
Exons: 2
Source: RefSeq, a predicted model, not a curated record
CACAUAUUUUUUUAUUAACCAUCACAAACAAUAUAAUUAAUACAAAUGCGAAACAUGUAGGGAACUAACGAAAAAAAAUGCAAAAUUCAGAAUAAUACAACUAAAAUUAUUAUUAAGUAUAACUAAAAUUCGGAAAGAUUAAAAAUGAAUCAACUUAAUCAGAUUAAAAGUGUUUAAAUGAAAAUUAAUAUGAUUGAAUUUUUUUUUUAAUUACAGAAAUAAUUUUUAAUGCUGACUUUAGUGUAACUAAUAUAAGCUAACUUUUAACGCUGACUAAUACUAUAAGCCAUACAUUUUUUGUGCAUGAAACAUAUGAAAAAAAAACUAAAUAAAAAAUGUGAUGCAUAAAACCUUUGCAUUGUUAUUUUCUUACAAAAUUAAAAAAAAAUAGUAAUUUGCAUUUACAUAUUUUGUAACACUCAUUUAAACAUUAAAGCACUUACGUUAUAUUUAUUUGUAAUAUAUAGUUUUCAACAUUAUAUUUUUUAACAUUAGCAAUAAACAAUCAUUAUAUCUUAUUAUUGGUUCAUAAGACACUUUAGUUAAAUAUUAUAAUAAUACUUAAAAAAGCAUUUUAGUCUAAAACCGAAAAAAAAAUUAAAACUUGUAAAUAUUUAUAGAUCUAAAGGAUAUACAGAUCGAAAAUUAAAAAUGAGAAAAAUAUUUAAAUUUAAAUCUUUGAUUCAUUCGCCUUUCGAGAUUUUACAAGGCACCUGCAAAAGAAAAAUAUAAUAAGGAAAAGUUAUUGAUAAAAAAAUGUUUGCGAUAGGUGUAAAAUUCAAAAUAAGUAGUUAAUUACUUUUAAUUUAAAAAAAAAAUUGUAGUUGUCGGACUCGUAUGAAGAGUUCCGUGACGUCAUACAAGAAAUACAACUUUUUUCCUAACCACAAAUUAAAGGUUUUUAAAGGAUUUGUUCCUUUAUUUGUGCUACACUACAAGACAUUGCUAACUAAAU